AGGCCUAUAACUCAGCGGUUAGAGUAUUCCAUUGAUAAUGGAAAAGCCAAAAGUUCAAAUCUUUUUAGGCCU
Molecule: transfer RNA, 72 nt
Filed under: Leucocryptos marina
Lineage: Eukaryota; Cryptophyceae; Kathablepharidacea; Katablepharidaceae
Description: tRNA-Ile
Rfam family: tRNA
About the family: Transfer RNA (tRNA) molecules are approximately 80 nucleotides in length.
Source: RNAcentral